This 2440-nucleotide long non-coding RNA is filed under the name Coffea arabica (coffee). RNAcentral describes it as "long non-coding RNA (CARA_LNC002767)". The record is from RNAcentral. Lineage: Eukaryota; Viridiplantae; Streptophyta; Magnoliopsida; Gentianales; Rubiaceae.
UCAAGCUUAUAAUUUACAUUAAUAGAAAUCGAGGUACAAAGUCUCAACACACCCAACUAAUUCAAUACGUAUACAAUACAACAUGUUCCAUUCGAGGAAUAGCGCGAGUACAAGACUAAAAAGUCAAAAGUCAAAACAAAAGGCUACGCUAGUCUUUUACAAGUCUCACGCGUCACUCGUACCCCUGAAAGGAAAACAAAUGGAGUGGAAUGAGCUAAAAACCCAGUGAGGUUCCAAAUAGCAAAUUGACCAUUAUUUAGAAGUACAAGUUUUCGGUAUAGCAAAGUAACAAGCAUGAAGAGUUCAUAAAUGUGAGCAAUAACACGUCAAGUAGCAAUCUUAAAAUGAGCGAGUGUAGAAGUUUUUCAAAAGCAACAAUAAUCCAAUAAACAAUAUUCACUCCAAAGUAUAAGGAUACGGAUGACUCUCAGGAGCCAAAUUCCCGUUGCAUUACCAGAAGCUUGAUCACGUAGUAGUUGACACUCCAUCAACUUUCAAGUAAGUAACCAAUCCAAUAGAACACCACUUACACGACUCUCCGUCCACCGUUCAAACCCCCUACUGGGCCCAAAAUCCUCAAUAAACACGGGUGGUAAUACUCGAGUAUACCGAUUAGUCGAGGAGAUAUCACUCCACUCGACAAUACAAGAGACCCAGGGUUCGUUACCCAAUCGACCAAGCCAUUGCCGGCUCGACUAGAGUAACUCGCCACAGGGUUUCUGGAAUUCCAGGAAGUGCGCGCAUCAUAAUCAAGUAUAUCAACUCAAUUGCAACAAUAAACAAAUAUAUCACGUAAGGGCAAGUGCGAUAAAGUACACUCUUGCCCUUACAAUUCACGUAUAUAACAUGUAAUCAGAUUGGUCACGUAUCAAGUUCAAGUAUCAAGUUCAAUUCGGUAUUUGAAAGCACUCACCAAAAGAUAUAGUGCCUUUACUGGUCACUUUCAGGUUAUACUCCGGGUUCGGAGUCCAAAUCUGCGAUAAAACUCAGUUUGAGAACUUUGAAACACGACUUAGAUUCGAAACUUAAACGUUUCGUUCAAUAAAAUUCAAGAAAUUGGAAUUCACUUGGAUGGUAGUGUGAAACACUUGCUCACUUUUUAAACGGUAAAACUUUGUAAUUUUUAUACUUGAAAUCGUCAUGCGAGUGGAAAAUACAAGGAAAACAUAUUUCGAGCAAUCAUGAUUGCAUUUCUCAAGGGUACAAGUUCGGCCAAGUGCUUACUUAUAUACCUCGGAACAAGAAGACUCAAGUACCCUAGAUGGUUCAAGCAGUAAUCACUCUUAACCCUUACUCAAGUUGCAAGUAGUUCUCUAGUCUUCGAGCGUAAAUUUGGGCAGCAUGCCCCUUGUGUUUACCUAAUUUUCCAGCCAUUUAGACUUCAUUAUUUUUCUUCAACAACAACCCAACAUCAUACAUAUCAGCAAUUUAUGUCAAGAGCCGUUCCAUAGGCUCACAAUAUCAUAAUAACAAGAAUUGCAUUAAGGACAAGUGCAGAAAUUCAAUUUAGCACAAGACAGAUUUGACGUACAAAUGCGGAAAUAACAUAUCCGAGGCUACGCUUAUCGGAUUGAGGCGUAACUUAUGCCGUUUCGAAGCUAAGACACAGAGCUACAAUGUUCAUGAAGGUCACUUUGUCCAGUUUCUAAAGUAACUUGGUCAAAUUCUCAAAUUACUAAACCAGAAACCAAUUCGUCGGCUGUUUAAACGCAUUACGCUGUAACGGACAUAACUCAGUGUACAAAAGUCCAAUUCAGGUGUUCUUAGAGGAAUUUUAAAGCUACUUCAGAACACUACAACUUUCAUGUUUUGGCCCAGAGCUAAAUCAGUACGGCUCCUAGUAAAAAAAUGUGAUAAACUGGACUUAACUGAUGAAACGGACUGCUGGGAAAUACUUAGAACAGUAAGGGUAUUUUGGACUUUUCACAUCCUACGUUGCUCCGAUUGAGCUGAAAUUUUGUAGGCACCUAUAAAAUGCCAUUCUCUACAACUUUUAUUCUUUGACCUAAGGCCAAAACAGCCUCUAACAUACAGAUAAAAAUUCAGACAGAAUGUUGAGACAAUUUUCCAGAUUUUGGAAAUUUUGAGUUUCUAGUGAAUCUUUCCUUAAUUUCUUGGUCCAAUCACUACCAAAACACCAUAUAACACCUCAAUUGCAACAUAUAAAUAUCAUACAAUCAUUUGGGCAGAAUUUUCCCCAAACCCUAGUCAUCAAAUAAGAAAGGGGAAAACUUCUAAAACAUGCUAAUCAUCCAUGAUUUCACCAUAAUCUCAAGUUGUUAAGCUUAAUUUAACAAGAUUGAAAGUAAAACUUGGAGAGAUAAGUUCUCUUACCUUGGUUAGAGGUCACUAAGAGUAGCCCAAGCUUCCUUCUUCCAAAAGCUUACCACAAAUCACCACUUAAUCACUCAAGAACAAGUUUAAUCGGUUUACUUUGUUU